CCAUAACAAGCCAUGAAGCCUGGCAGCCAGGACUCCUGGGUUCUAUCCCCAGCUCUGGGAGGGGAGUGAAGGCUAUGGGUUAGAGCAGUGGGGGGCUGGGAGCCAGGACUCCUGGGUUCUCUCCCCAGCUCUGGGAGGGGAGUGGGGGCUAUGGGUUAGAGCAGUGGGGGGCUGGGAGCCAGGACUCCUGGGUUCUCUCCCCAGCUCUGGGAGGGGAGUGAAGGCUAGUGGGUUAGAGCAGUGGGGGGCU
Gopherus flavomarginatus (Mexican gopher tortoise) is the source of this 250-nucleotide long non-coding RNA. RefSeq lists it as uncharacterized. The transcript is spliced from 3 exons. NCBI's taxonomy places the organism in Eukaryota, Metazoa, Chordata, Testudines, Testudinidae. The record is from RefSeq and is a predicted model, not a curated record.